Molecule: long non-coding RNA, 1024 nt
Filed under: Crocodylus porosus (Australian saltwater crocodile)
Lineage: Eukaryota; Metazoa; Chordata; Crocodylia; Crocodylidae
Description: lncRNA (ENSCPRG00005015641.1)
Source: RNAcentral
AACAGUCACAGCUCCAAGAAGAUGAAAGAAGGAGCAAUGUCAUGGAGUCAAGGAAGGGAGAUUUGAGGCAUGGUCUUGAAGACAGAGCAAUUGGGAGGUAGGAACAGCUUGCCAGAAAGCAUUGUUAAAGUCUCAGUGCAGAGAUUCAGGAGCCAAUUAGUGGUGUACCAGGAUCAAUAACAUGAGGCAUUCCACAGAACAGGAUAUUUAGGGCAGCUUUGGUCCCUGUGAACCUUCUGCAUCUCCUACACCCACCCCAUUUUUCCCCUAUGAAGUCACUGUGGUUGGGACUUUUAUCUGGUGAGCCUUCUCCUCGGUUCCCAGCCUAUUCUCUGGGAACCUAAGGGGAUGUAGUCAGCCCCAUCCUGAGCCAGCUGCAUAUUGGUUCCACAUCUGCUGAGCCAGGGUAGUGACUGAGCCCUGUGGUCCUUAGAACUAAUCAGACUGAACAGCAUUUUAAUGACGGUUACUUUCCUUUAAAAAAAACAAAAGGGUGGUGCUGGGCAAGGAAGCUUAGGUCUGCACUGCUUCCCCGGCCCUUCCUGAUGACAGUGGAGACAUUUGGGCAUUUCAAGAAGAGUUCCAGCUACUCAUGAUACAUGUUGAAGGAAGACUCCAAAAUAGGAAUAAGUCCAUCCCCAAACAGGGCUUCUCAGCCCUGGUCAUCCAUAUGCAGUUCCUCUACUUCAUAACCUCAGAGACUUCACAAUUGGGACACAGCCUGGCUGGGUGCAUCCUGCUGGAGGUGCUAGGUCUUCAUUUUAAGUUCCCUGUUGGUUGACUUGGGGGGAAAUAUUUUCUUUUCCUGUCUGCUGCUUUGUAAUGAUGAGUCAUGAUCUUUGGGGAAAGGGACUGUCACAGCAAUGAGCACCACAAGAGAACAAGCACUGGGGAGACGGAAAGGAACAUGGAAUCUCUCCUCACCAGGGCCCAGCUCAAGAGAAGGCCAUCUAUGGGGUGCUGGGGCAGGAGAGGGCCAGCUGCUUCCCCUUGUCUGACCCACAGUAGCUACACAGGGAGGUGA